Long non-coding RNA from Leptopilina boulardi, 340 nucleotides. RefSeq lists it as uncharacterized. The transcript is spliced from 3 exons. Lineage: Eukaryota; Metazoa; Arthropoda; Insecta; Hymenoptera; Figitidae. The record is from RefSeq and is a predicted model, not a curated record.
CGUUUUAGAGUGAAGAAAAGGAAAAGUUUUUGCAUUUUUGAUUAUUUUUCAUUAUUAAACUUAGGUUUUCGAUUUUCCAUAUUUGUCAAAAUUCUCAAAUUUUCGGAAAUCGCUUUUUCUCUCGCAAAUUUUUAGUUUUGGAAAUUGGUCUUUCUCUCUUAUUUUAACUAUUCUCCACCCGCUGUAAAGUAAAAAAAUAGAAAAGUUUUUGCAUUUUAGAUUAUUCUUCAAUAUUAAACUUAGGUUUUCAAUUUUCCAUAUUUGUCAAAAUUCUCAAAUUUUCGGAAAUCGUUUUUUCUCUCGCAAAGUUUUCCUUUUUAAAAUAAGACCUUCUCGCUUU